UUAAUUAAAACCAAAUAGAGGUAAAUUAUUGUUAAUAAUUUCAUUGAAUAAAUUCUAAUUAAA
RNAcentral lists this transfer RNA (63 nucleotides) under Hylaeus confusus. Its description in RNAcentral is "tRNA-Asn". The record is from RNAcentral. Lineage: Eukaryota; Metazoa; Arthropoda; Insecta; Hymenoptera; Colletidae.